CUUGGUCAUUUAGAGGAAGUAAAAGUCGUAACAAGGUUUCCGUAGGUGAACCUGCGGAAGGAUCAUUAACAAAUCCACUCGUGGUGUGCGAAUGCCACGAUAAGCCCCGCGCAGCACGACUGCGUGUGAGACAUUUUAUCGUUUGACUGUUGACGUAUGUGCAAUGAGAAAGCUUUUAACAAUGGAUCUCUAGGCUCCCGCAUCGAUGAAGAACGCAGUGAAGUGCGAAAAGUAAUGCGAUUUGCAUGCUCUGUGAGUCAUCGAGUCUUUGAACGCAUAUGGCACCUUGCGGAGCGAUCCGGAAGGUAUGCCUGUUUGAGAAUCAUUAUAACACUAUUAUGAAUAAUAAUACUAUUGUGGGCCUUCACCAGUGAUCGCCCGGAAAGCGCGCCCUUUGGCUGUGUCAUGGAGCAAUCCGCUGCAGCCAGAACACCAUCAAAGUGAUCUCAAAUCAGGCAAGAGUACCCGCUGAACUUAAGCAUAUCAAUAAGCGGAGGA
Molecule: ribosomal RNA, 498 nt
Filed under: fungal sp. 10 GM 18-11
Lineage: Eukaryota; Fungi
Description: eukaryotic LSU rRNA
Rfam family: 5.8S ribosomal RNA (bases 171-325)
Source: RNAcentral